RNAcentral lists this long non-coding RNA (4409 nucleotides) under Gallus gallus (chicken). The record is from RNAcentral. Lineage: Eukaryota; Metazoa; Chordata; Aves; Galliformes; Phasianidae.
GGCUAGUUGAAAUCAUGAAAAGGAUGUUUGUGUUAUUGCUGUUUGGUACUUAAUUUGAUACGGCAACCUGUCAAAAUUAUACAAAUAAUUUGUAUUUCAGGAUGACUGGCUGACAUACACAAACAGUAACAAAUCCCUACAAGCUUUUUUUUUUUCAUUGCGUGAUCUUCACUGUUCCGACGGAGACUCUUUUUCAGAUUCCCGAUAGGUUGUCUUUUCAGUUCUUGUUCAGACUACUUUUGCAGUACCUUUCUCCUUCCCUGUUUCAUUUUAGUCACUAUAGGGCUGAAAUUUGAAAAAAAUAUGAAGUUGCUGCUUUAAAAAAAAAAAAACCCAGCUCAGGUUGAAGCAAUCAAGGCACAGCCAAUGAGGAACCGCGCUUAGCUACUAUAAAGGGGAAAUGCCUGCCCACCCAUGAAGGGAGUUUGCAGCAAGAGUUCUGGACAGAGCUGUGUUGAUGCAUCUUCUUUGUAUGCUUCGGUCUUUAAAACAAGAGCAAAGAAACUUUGGAGGUGUGGGGAACUCAUCACCUGCAAUUAUCACAAUCAUCUCUGCUUGUAACCCUUCCUUCUCAAAGAGCUGGAAACAGAAACAUGAAGAAAGCAUUCUGAAGCAUUGGUGGAGUAGCCUGGCUUGUUGAAUGAAGUACAUAAAAUCCAUGCUUCUAUCUCGAUACUGAAAGGUGUCCCUCACUUCAGUUCUCAUUCUGUAACACUGAAGGACAGUGGGAGGCAACCUGUUACAUCUUUUUCAGACCAUCCAUGCAGCAUUGUCUUGAGAACAACUUGAACAUUUCGUUCCUGUUAUCUGUGUCGAAAUCUCCAGAUCACCCCAAACCUCAUAUACUUGCAUAAAAUAAGUGGUGACAGAAGGAAGAGACUGAGAAUUCAGGUGGAGAGAAGAGAGGCAGUUCUUUAGAGUGAGAGAUACGGUUCUAUGGCCAGUGUGAAAAAAAAAAAAAAAACAAAACAAAAAACAGAGAGAAAAUAAAAUUUUCCUCCUAUCUCUGUUCCACUCUCAUUUUAAUACAUCUUCAGACUAAAGCAGUGACAUCUCAUUUUCGACUGAAGACGUUUGGAAAUGGAUCUCCUAAAAAGAUGUCAGCAAACAGGCAAAUAAACACAGAAUGCAUAUCUAAGCUACUGGAUGUUUACAAAAGGUACUGCAGAAGGGAAAAUGUACCAGAUGAAAUGGAAAUUAUUUCAUGAAUCACCUCACGAUUUCACAGAAAUAAGGGAAGUAUUAUUACUGAUUAUUCUCCAUAAAACAAGUUUAAAAACAUACCAUCGUCUAAAAAGGAAAAGUGAAAGGUUUCUAAAUUGGAUAUUUCAAUAUUGCUAAUGAGAACGAAGUGAGCUGAUGAAUGUUGAAUCAUUCCUUGACAGUUUUUAAACAAAUAUUAUCAUUCAUUCUCUUUCCUGCAUCGACAGAUGAUGUUUCUUGUUCAAAUGAGGCUUCCUGACUUUUGAUAAAGGCUGCUGAAAAUAGCACUCCCCUUCCCAAGCUGUAUAUUCACCUCUAGCAUAUACUGACAUACUGACAGGGAAUGAAAAUUUGGGAUGCUCUGCAGUGUUCUGCCCUUUCAUGAAGGGUUUGUCUUGUGUGUGAAGUAUGAUGUACACCAUGGUAUCACUAUAUCACAUUACCCGGUGAUGAAUUUAGAAGCUGCCACUGCUGUCUAAUUCAGCAAUCCAUUUUGAAAUUGAGUAGCCUCUUCUCUCCCUUAAAAGUAGGGCAUCAUUAAAUUAAAGUAACCUAUUGUGUGCAGCAGACUAGGCAAGAAGUGGGUGAUGUUCUCCUGCCUUCAGCUGUCUGUCCCUGCCUGCUGGCUGCUUUCAAAUGGAGGAGACAAGUCUGAUGGGCUGCUUAAACUCGUUCCUUCACUUCCCUCCAUUCUUAGCCUCCACAGAGGGCAGACUUGGGACUGUAAAGAACAGCUGCUUACCUCACUGAUGCUUUAUAUACUGAUUUAAGUGUGUAUAUGCUCACUUUUAUAUCUUGUUUAUUCAUUACUGUGGAAGGCUAUAGGAAGUUGGAGGUGAGGAGAUGCUUUCCUGCAGGGGGAAAGUUGCAAGGUACAAGACUGAAAAUGGAUUUUGGAUUUGUGGAGCAGGCUGUGUGUAAGCAAAUGCACUUGGAUUCCGUGCUGGCUUUCUCCCGUUACACAGUUUUUGCAUUGUUCUUGAUCAAAAUGGAUGGAAAAUACUGAGGGUGUUCACUUGGUUUUGCUAUAAUUGCUAUAAACAUUCUAAAUAGUGCUUUGGUUAAUAGUCAGAAGGACAAAUGGGAAGGAAGCCAUCAGGUGGGUAGUCAGGUAGAGACACUUUGUUUGCGUUUACUGUAAGAGCACAUUGGAAAUAUUGUUAAUUUAACAUCAACCAUCUAAAGAUAGCACCAAUUCUAAUUUCAUCAGCAGGUGAGUGUGAAAAAUCGGCCAAUGUUUUCAAUGUAGAAGUGGAAAAAUAAAAAAAUAGAAAGCCAGUUAUGUAUUAAUUGUGAUAGAGCACUAUCUGAAUUUGAAGAGCUAGAAAUUCUGCCCAUUUCAUCGAGACUUGACCUAACAUUUCCCACUGCGAGUAGAAAAUAUUGAUAUAAUGCAUAGGAAUCAUUCUGUUUGUGGUGGGUUUUUGUGGUUGUUUGUCCUUUUCUUUCUUUCUUUUUUUUUACUAGCCGUUGCCCAUAUGGCCAGUUAAUUAUCCUUCUGCAGGCAGAAUUAUUUUAUUUAAUGAAUUUUUAAAUGUCAGUGACGUGAAAAACCAUUACUGUGGUUGUAAGUCCAUUACUCACCUUCAGCUUCUAUUUCCCAUCACCCCCCACUUUAGCUUUAAGGAGCAUCUGAAGUGACAGAGCUUUGAUUUCAGUUGAGAGUGCUGAGCACAGAAGUCUUACAAGUAAUACAUUAUUAAAAAAUCGUAGCAAGAAAAUUAAUUUCUACUAUCGUAUGCCAUGCUGGGUAUAUCACUUCUAACAAAUGACCUUUUUUUUUCAUAUAUUCAUUGGUAGAUUUACCAGGACAAAAUAAUUACUUUGUUUUCCACCUCUAAGAAAAAAAAAAAAGUCUUUUUCUUGUGCGUGUGUGGUUUUCUUGUUUUGUUUUUAAUUGAAAUAAGUACACAAAAUGGGUUCUAUAAGAUAAAAAGAAAAAGGAAAGAAAAAAGAAGGAACUGGAAAACCACACAGAAAUGAGGCACUGGCUCCCUGUCAUGUUGUCUGGUCAGUAAUAUUUCUUACUGUGAAAUUCCUGCAUGUUCGCAUGUUCAUGUUUAAAUCCUCCCAGAGAGAUUUUGCAUUGGAUCCUAGUUGAACUCAAGAAGGUAGAUGGUUAUGCGGUUUCUCAUAUUUCUUGCUUUUGAGAGGAACGUCUGUUUAUCCAGAGAGCCUUAUCUGGGCUUGGCGACGAGCACAUUCCGCAGCCAGAAGAAGGACCAGACAGCUAUACUCUGGACCACCUCAUUUCAGAAUUCUGCUUGAAGCACACUAAAGACUUCAGUGAGACUUUCUGACAGCGUGUGGUAAUGAAACUACCCCAUAAGGAGAUGAAAAACAAGAUAUACUCAAUGGGAGGAGCACAUGCUUGUACUUAAAUUCUUCUGUUUCUCCUUCAGUCAGAUGGGCAAAGGAAAAUGCUGUCCUAUCCCAAGAAAUGCAAAGGCAUAAUCAAGUAUGUCUGUGCCUCUCUUGCCAUUUUGAUAUUGGGAACUCAUCCAGCUGUGAACCAAUAGUCUUAUAUGGAAGAUCAGAACUGCUGCUCCUUCGCUUCUUGAUGUAGGAUCUCUCUAUACACAAGCACUGUGCGCGAGUCUUCCCCUUAAAACUUUGAGCACUGCAUAAAUUCUGCUGGUCAAGAGGCUCAGACUGUGAUUUCAAAAGGGUCAAGUCUCGGCUGUCCUUCCAUUUGGAUCAGGACUAUAACUGCCUGUGAACUGUUCUAGUCAGUAUCAUUCUGAAACAAAGCGAUGUGCUUAAAUGGUCUGUGAAGACCAAUCAUCCCUUGAGUACAACUUGAUGGACAUUGUUUCUGCAAAAACAAUGAAAUAGCCAUCAGUGAGCAAGCAGAACAGAGCUGGAUGGUGAACCGUACGCAGACUUACCUCUUGUUCUCCAAAGGUGAGAGGGCAGAAUUUGAAAUAUGAAAACAUCACCAGCAGAAAAAUGCUCCAUUCAUACGUAGAUGACACCCGCAGAUGAAAUAAUCUCUUCUCUCUGCAUUAUUGCAAAGUCAAACACAAACUUUAAGUAGGAAAUGCAUAUGUGACUGUAGUUGUGUUAGUCAGCGUUCUCCUUCGAUGGCAUUGGAAAACGUGUAAUUUGAUUCAAUUGUACCGUUAUCAUGAACAGUGGAAUACUACAUGCAGUACAGUCAUCAACUAGGAAAAUACAAGGCGUAAAGCAGUCAUCACUGACAGAAC